This is a long non-coding RNA of Harmonia axyridis, 402 nucleotides long. RefSeq lists it as uncharacterized. The record is from RefSeq and is a predicted model, not a curated record. NCBI's taxonomy places the organism in Eukaryota, Metazoa, Arthropoda, Insecta, Coleoptera, Coccinellidae. The transcript has 2 exons.
GGUAGGAGUUUUGUUGCCAAAUAAGCCAAACCACCCCUAGAAAUUAGUCCUUAGAGUCUCAUGGGCAAUUGUAACGUUACAAUGUCUAUCGAUGGUAAUGCCGAGAUACUUGAUGGAGUCAGUUUCGGGUAUAAUUGUGCAAUCGUUGACUUUCAGAGGACCCAAGUUCGGAAGACCUGACUCAUAGGAAGUAAACGGUUUGGAUCUACCGCAGAGGUUAUCCACGUAAGACCAAAGUGAUUUUGUUGCUGAAGUAUAUUUCGUGACAAAGGUGUUCAUGUAAUCUCUUUUAGCAUUCCUGAUCAACUUGUGUAAAAUAUUUCUGUAUCUUGUAUAUUGUUGUUUCAACUCAGUAUUGUAUUGAUAUUUCAUCAUUUCCUUGUAUAAAUAGUUUUUUCUGUU